UGGGGGAUAUUGCACAAUGGGGGAAACCCUGAUGCAGCGACGCCGCGUGGAGGAAGAAGGUUUUCGGAUUGUAAACUCCUGUCGUUAGGGACGAUAAUGACGGUACCUAACAAGAAAGCACCGGCUAACUACGUGCCAGCAGCCGCGGUAAAACGUAGGGUGCAAGCGUUGUCCGGAAUUACUGGGUGUAAAGGGAGCGCAGGCGGGAAGACAAGUUGGAAGUGAAAACCAUGGGCUCAACCCAUGAAUUGCUUUCAAAACUGUUUUUCUUGAGUAGUGCAGAGGUAGAUGGAAUUCCCGGUGUAGCGGUGGAAUGCGUAGAUAUCGGGAGGAACACCAGUGGCGAAGGCGGUCUACUGGGCACCAACUGACGCUGAGGCUCGAAAGCAUGGGUAGCAAACAGGAUUAGAUACCCUGGUAGUCCAUGCCGUAAACGAUGAUUACUAGGUGUUGGGGGAUUGACCCCCUCAGUGCCGCAGUUAACACAAUAAGUAAUCCACCUGGGGAGUACGACCGCAAGGUUGAAACUCAAAGGAAUUGACGGGGGCCCGCACAAGCAGUGGAGUAUGUGGUUUAAUUCGAAGCAACGCGAAGAACCUUACCAGGUCUUGACAUCCAACUAACGAAGUAGAGAUACAUUAGGUGCCCUUCGGGGAAAGUUGAGACAGGUGGUGCAUGGUUGUCGUCAGCUCGUGUCGUGAGAUGUUGGGUUAAGUCCCGCAACGAGCGCAACCCUUGCUAUUAGUUGCUACGCAAGAGCACUCUAAUAGGACUGCCGUUGACAAAACGGAGGAAGGUGGGGACGACGUCAAAUCAUCAUGCCCCUUAUGACCUGGGCUACACACGUACUACAAUGGAUGUUAACAGAGGGAAGCGAAACCGCGAGGUAGAGCAAAUCCCCAAAAACGGUCUCAGUUCGGAUUGCAGGCUGCAACUCGCCUGUAUGAAGUCGGAAUUGCUAGUAAUCGUGGAUCAGCAUGCCACGGUGAAUACGUUCCC
Molecule: ribosomal RNA, 999 nt
Filed under: uncultured bacterium
Lineage: Bacteria
Description: bacterial SSU rRNA
Rfam family: Bacterial small subunit ribosomal RNA
Source: RNAcentral